This 71-nucleotide transfer RNA is filed under the name Patescibacteria group bacterium. RNAcentral's name for it is "tRNA-Gln". It matches the Rfam family "tRNA". Rfam says of the family: Transfer RNA (tRNA) molecules are approximately 80 nucleotides in length. Their secondary structure includes four short double-helical elements and three loops (D, anti-codon, and T loops). Further hydrogen bonds mediate the characteristic L-shaped molecular structure. tRNAs have two regions of fundamental functional importance: the anti-codon, which is responsible for specific mRNA codon recognition, and the 3' end, to which the tRNAs corresponding amino acid is attached (by aminoacyl-tRNA synthetases). tRNAs cope with the degeneracy of the genetic code in two manners: having more than one tRNA (with a specific anti-codon) for a particular amino acid; and 'wobble' base-pairing, i.e. permitting non-standard base-pairing at the 3rd anti-codon position. The record is from RNAcentral.
UGCCGGGUCGUCUAAUGGUAGGAUCCAUGCCUCUGGAGCAUGUUAUCGGGGUUCGAGUCCCUGCCCGGCAG